CUAUCGCUUACAGAUGGGCCCGCGGUGCAUUAGCUAGUUGGUAGGGUAAUGGCCUACCAAGGCAACGAUGCAUAGCCGACCUGAGAGGGUGAUCGGCCACACUGGGACUGAGACACGGCCCAGACUCCUACGGGAGGCAGCAGUAGGGAAUCUUCCGCAAUGGACGAAAGUCUGACGGAGCAACGCCGCGUGUAUGAAGAAGGUUUUCGGAUCGUAAAGUACUGUUGUUAGAGAAGAACAAGGAUAAGAGUAACUGCUUGUCCCUUGACGGUAUCUAACCAGAAAGCCACGGCUAACUACGUGCCAGCAGCCGCGGUAAUACGUAGGUGGCAAGCGUUGUCCGGAUUUAUUGGGCGUAAAGCGCGCGCAGGCGGUCUUUUAAGUCUGAUGUGAAAGCCCCCGGCUUAACCGGGGAGGGUCAUUGGAAACUGGAAGACUGGAGUGCAGAAGAGGAGAGUGGAAUU
Molecule: ribosomal RNA, 464 nt
Filed under: Listeria monocytogenes
Lineage: Bacteria; Bacillati; Bacillota; Bacilli; Caryophanales; Listeriaceae
Description: bacterial SSU rRNA
Rfam family: Bacterial small subunit ribosomal RNA
Source: RNAcentral